GGUUAAGUCCGCAACGAGCGCAACCCUCGCCAUUAGUUGCCAUCAUUAAGUUGGGCGACUCUAGUGGGACCGCCGGGUGGUAAGGCCGGAGGAAGGUGGGGAUGACGUCAAGUCCUCAUGGCCCUUACGGGUGGGCUACACACGUGCUACAAUGGCGACUACAGAGGGCAGCAAGCCAGCGAUGGGAGCUAAUCCCUAAAAGUCGUCUCAGUUCGGAUUGCACUCUGCAACUCGAGUGCAUGAAGUCGGAAUCGCUAGUAAUCGCGGAUCAGCAUGCCGCGGUGAAUACGUUCCCGGGCCUU
Molecule: ribosomal RNA, 302 nt
Filed under: uncultured Phenylobacterium sp.
Lineage: Bacteria; Pseudomonadati; Pseudomonadota; Alphaproteobacteria; Caulobacterales; Caulobacteraceae
Description: bacterial SSU rRNA
Rfam family: Bacterial small subunit ribosomal RNA
Source: RNAcentral